GGGAUCCGUUUCCGUAGGUGAACCUGCGGAAGGAUCA
RNAcentral lists this ribosomal RNA (37 nucleotides) under Coelastrum sphaericum. RNAcentral's name for it is "partial 18S ribosomal RNA". The record is from RNAcentral. Lineage: Eukaryota; Viridiplantae; Chlorophyta; Chlorophyceae; Sphaeropleales; Scenedesmaceae.